GACAGAGGUGCCGAGCGUUAGGCGGAAUCACUGGGCUUAAAGCGUGUGUAGGCGGGUCGUUAAGUGUCUUGUGAAAUCCCACCGCUCAACGGUGGAACUGCUGGGCAUACUGGCGAUCUUGAGCCACCUAGGGGCAGACGGAACAAGCGGUGGAGCGGUGAAAUGCGUAGAUAUCAUUUGGAACGCCAAUGGUGAAAACAGGUAGCUGGGAGUGUGCUGACGCUGAGACACGAAAGCCAGGGGAGCGAACGGG
This 253-nucleotide ribosomal RNA is filed under the name uncultured bacterium. RNAcentral's name for it is "partial 16S ribosomal RNA". It matches the Rfam family "Bacterial small subunit ribosomal RNA", at positions 524 to 776 of the family's 1533-position model. The record is from RNAcentral.